This is a non-coding RNA of Cinara cedri, 294 nucleotides long. NCBI's taxonomy places the organism in Eukaryota, Metazoa, Arthropoda, Insecta, Hemiptera, Aphididae. The record is from the annotation of a GenBank genome assembly.
CUCAAGUAAAAAUUAUUUAUUAAUUUGUAUAUAAUUACAUAUUAGGAGUAAGGUUUACUGUUACCUGCAGGGAGCAGAACUUGCAUAGCUUUCACCUAAUAUAACCUAACCUAACCUAACCUCCGAUCUGAAUUGAUCGGAGGGACUUUGGUUUUACAUAUGGGAGUUUUGUCGAUGGGUUUACAACCCGUCACAGAAAAAACAUUCAAAAAUUCUGCCUUAGAAUAGUCGAUCACAUGGUUCUAGGCUAGAAAUUGGGAAAUAGGCUUUACAUGUUUGUAAAUGGAAUAUACG